CCGUCAGCACAGAGCCCGACGCGGGGCUCGAACCCACAGUCCGCGAGAUCAUGACCUGAGUUGAGGGUGGAUGCUGAACCGACUGAGCCACCCAGGCGCCCCCAUUCAAAAUGUAUUUUCAAAUGUACCUCUAUCUUGUCCCAGAAUAAAUUCCACUAUCUUUUAUGUUAAGUGGUACAUUUCUCUCCCACUGACUUAGAAGUUCUGUCUGUCUCAUCACCUGAGUGUCUCUUUGAACUUGAGUCUCUGCCUCGUGCUUUAAGUCGUGGUGUUUUAUGAUAAAAAAAUGCCAGAGCUGUUCCCCGAUGACUUCCGGGUUUCUUUUGGAAUGUUCCUCCCUAUGCCUGCCUGUUGAUUUUCUCCGACGGCUGGUAACCCUUCUAAAAAGUUUGAUGGUUGCAUUUUGGAGACCGCAUCGAAUGUAGAUUGGCACAGGCAGGGCGGACACCUGGCGCAUGUGGCUUCCUCCUGUCCCCGAGGAUGGGAACAUCGAAGUUUGCGAUGUAGAUUUUGUCGUUAGUAUCGGCACUGUAUAUGGAUUGUUUUUUUUUUCCUCCUGAGGAUUGUUUAAACAUAGGAAAGCCCUUGAUUUUUCUGCUUAGUUUUGUACCCCCAGCUACCUUGCUGAAUUCUGUGGUCUGGGGGUUUUGAGCCUUGGGCCUCAGAAUUCUCUAGAAAGCCUCCUGAGGGGCAGAUGGCAGGGCUGGGGAGGGGCCUGAGUGUGGGCCUUUGUAAGGAGUCCCCAGGCUUAGUGUUUUGGCCCCCGUGAUUUCUUCUUUUUCCCUCCAGCCUUAUUGAGAUCUGACGGAUACAGGAGUCUGUGCAAGUUUCAGAGGUAGGUGCAUACAGCGCGUUGAAUGCAAUCGUGAACGAUUGUGUACCUGGGAGGAUAAUUUCCCUACUCUGCACUUUCUAGGCCUUUUAUUCUUUUAAUUGUAUCAGCAAAUCGUUUAAGAACUUCAGUAGCAGUGAUAGGCCCUCACCAUUCCUGACUUUGAUGGAAAUGCACCUGGCCUUUUACCGUGAGGCAGGGUGCUUUUCAGAUACAUUUCCACGUAAAGGAAGGAUCCAUCUGUAAUUAUGUUAAAAGUUUCCGUCUAGAUGGUGAAUGUUAUAAAAAGGUUUUCCCUCUUAAAUAAGGAACCCAAAUCAGUAGGGCUCUAGCUGCUGAGCAGUGUUUGUAUUUAUUUUUUCUUUAAAUUUUUUUAAUGUUUUUAUUUAUUUUUGAGACAGAGAGAGACAGAGCAUGAGCAGGGGAGGGGCAGAGAGAGAGGGAGACACAGAAUCCACAGCCUCCAGGCUCCGAGCUGUCAGCACAGAGCCCGACGUGGGGCUCGAACUCACUGCGAGAUCAUGACCUGAGCUGAAGUCGGACGCUUAACCGACUAAGCCAUCCAGGCGCCCCAAGCUGGUUUGUAUUUAAACUGCCAAGCUUCAAAUGUGUGAAUUCAGUUGGACUGGGUUCAAUACGUGUGUGUUCAAAUAGGUUAGUCUGGGGCGUCUGGGGGGCUCAGUCGGUUAAGAAUAAAAUCCAUUCUGACGAUUUUUUAUAUCCUGGUAAGCUUUUCAUCUUAUGCAAGUUUUCAAGUUAACUUACGUACGUUUGACCAGACUACGUGAAAUCUUUUGAGCUGUGGCUUUUUACUUCCAUUUUCCCUACAUUAUGUUGUAGCAAUUCUGUUUUUCUUUUAAAUUAAUUUUGCUUUUAUAGUAUCUCCUGCUGUUCGUUUCUUUUUCCAGUUUGAGUUGGUUGUUAAGUUCCUACAUGAAGAAUGGAAGUAAAUGCAUAUAUAGAGGCAUCACUUUUCUCUUUGAGCUCUGCCUUCUUUGGUAGUACUGUAUAGACUCUGAUAGACGUGUUCUGGGUUCGUGGUUGGCUUCUAGAUUUUCUUUUUUAAAUCUUUAUUUCUCUUAGAGAGAGACACACACAGGGGAGGGGCAGACAGAGGGAGGCGCAUUAUCCAAAGCAGGCUCCAGGCUCCGAGCUGUCCACACAGGGCCCGACGCGGGGCUCGAACUCACGAACCGUGAGAUCGUGACCUGAGCCGAAGUCGGAGGCUCAACCGACAGAGCCCCCCCCAGGCGCCCCUGUACUCAGAGCUUUCCACUUGGAGCCAAGAGUUUAAAAAUUUUUGUGGGCUGGAGAAUUUUCGUACAAAUGGGGCUGUUCACUUUCAGUUUUAAUAAAUAGUAAUUAGGGAGCCACCUAUGUCCUGUCUACUUGGGAUUGUGGUUUUAGUUGUGCCCUUCCCUGUGACCAGGUAGAGUCCCUGAAUGAAUUCCCUGUGUGUCUUCCUACAUUUGCCGUACGGUGCCCUGUGAGUGUGGAUGUUGAGUUGCCGUGUGCCCAGGCCCGUUGGAUUUUCAGUGGUGAAUGUAUCUCGUUGAAUUCCCUGCCCUGCCUUCCCUCAUGCUUUUGGCCUCGAUUCUAAUCUUGCCUGCCGUUAAUGAUGUCACGCGGCUGUGUGUGUUGCUUGGAGUUUGCCUGGUAUAUUUUAGCUUGAUUUUUCGGAGUCUUUUUUUUCUUAUAAACUUUAUUUUGACGUAACUUGAAUCGACCUAGAGGCUGCAAAACUGGUGCUGAGAGUUCCUGGGCACUCCUCUCCCAGCUUUGCCUAAUGAAAACAUCUUCCCUCAUCAGAGCACAGCCACCCAAGCAGGACGCUGGCAUCGGCACGAUAUCAGCAACGACGCGUAGACCUUAUUCGAAUGCCGCCAGUUUUUCCAAAGCCCCUGCUUUCAGGCACACUCAAGGCUAGAGGCACGGUCUUCCAGAUGGCAAAGUCUGCCCAAGCCUCCCGACACCCACUACGCGGUCCGAGGGCCCCCCAAGCCGCCCUCAGGUUGGACAGUUCGCUGAAGAGACAGAACUCACCGAAACCUGUUGGGCUGUUGGUCAGGCUUGUUACGGGGGAGGAUACACAUCAGCGCCAGCCGCGGGGUGGACCGGCAGUGUUCCAAGAACAGAGUUUCUGGUCAUCCUCACUGAGCCCGACGGUGGUCUUGGGGAUCCCUGCCAUCAGUCCUGGGAAACUUGAUCACGUGUAGAGAUUGACGUGACCCUCGCUACCGUCAGGAUCCAGAACUGUCCCGUUUGCCUCCCAAACUCCUUCCUGCUCCCCCUCUUCCAGUCCCGCCCUCCUAACGCUGACCCCUGACAACCUGUCAUCCACUCUGUCACCUUGUCACUUCGAGGAUGUUAGUAUAGUUGGAUUGCAGAGUGAUGUUAGUUGCAGGUGUACAAGACGGUGACUCAGCACUUCUGUACGUCACCCCGUGCGCCUCAUGCAAGGUGUUGCCGUGCGGUCUCCAGAGCUCAGCCGGCGAGGUUGGGGUGGACGCGGGCCCGGGCCCAGGCUUCCUGCCGGUUUCCCAAGAAGCAGAUCAGGUGAGGGACCUACUGCACGGUGUCCUAAAAGCGUGCCUCGGGAGGGGGGCUGGGGGAGGGCCACAGUCACAUAAAAAUAUAGAUUAUUGAGGGGUUGGACGCAGGCGGGGGCCGCUAUGCAUCUUCCUGGUGAACCUGGGCUUUCUCGGCUCUGGAACAGAACUUUUCGCAUAGUUUGAGCAGCUCUGACAAAAUGAACACGGAUGAAGCCAGUGCGGUUAAAAGCAACAAGUCUGCAAAAAGGUGAAAAGAAAAUGGGGGUCAGAGGGCACGGUGCCACCCUGAGGCUCUCUUCCCCACGUCUUGGCUUUGGUUGCAGAGAGCCCAGAGGUGAGGGGCGAGGACCCGGGAGCCGAGGACCAGGACUUCCCCUCCCGGGAGGGACGGAUGUCCGUGCAGCUCCACAGGACCACCCCGUCCUUCCAGGGGGCUCAGGGCUGGGGUGGGGGUGCGCUACCCCCUCCGGCAGUAACAGGACCCUCCCCCAUCCAUCCUGAGGGCAGACACCCCCCACCCCGGCCUCGUGCUCCGAGCAGUCGUGUCCAGCACCUCAGACCCGACCGUGUCAUGACCUGUGGCCAUGACCUACGCCGGCCUCCCCACCUGCUGGCUCCCACCACGUAAGUGGCUCUGGUCACUGCUGCUGCUCAGGUACCCUCCUCCCCCCACCCCUCCCCUCCUCCCACUUGUGUGCUCUGUUAGCUUCAGGCAAAGGCGGCCAGUCACCCCAGGCAGUUCACAAAGAAAAGGCUGGAAUCGCGUCCGCCUGGGCGGGGAGGCAGGGGAGCCCCAGGAUUCCACCCCGGGGCAGGUGCGCUCGGGGCCCUGGACGGCUGCGGUCAUUGAAUCAUGUUGUGUUUAGCCCGAGCUGCUGGGUGGCCCGCUCCCUGUCUUGGGGUCAGCGGGUGCCCAAGACCCACGAGCCCCCUGCCAGGGGGGGCAGAAUGAGCCGGGACUGUCACCCGCCAUGGCGCAGCCCCCGGGCCUUGCAGCGUCGCUCUGAGCCGCCAGCCCUGGGACAGGGGGGCUGGGAGGCCGUGUCCCCUUCUGCCCUCCGUGGCUCUCCCGGUGGAGGUGCCUCAUCCUCUGGUUCCCCGUGUACUCCAUGACCCCAUCACAUCGCCCUCCCACCCCGUGCGGCCGGCCGGGCACACGUAGGGACUUCGCACCUGGAACACCGCAUGUCGGCGCCCAGGCACCGGCCUCUGCUGACCCCUCACGUCCCCGCCCACUCACCGAGGGCACCCAGGUUCUCCGUCUGGAAGAUCUUCUGCAGGGGCGGGAUGUAAAUCACGGCCAGCUGGCCCAGAAUGGAGCCCAGCACCGAGUACAGGAACAUGGAGUUCCGCAGAAAGCCAAUCUCAAAUAUCAGCUUGGUCUGUGGGAGGAGAAGGGCACGUGUCAGCCGGGUCCCAAGCCACGGCUCAGACGGCGAUGCUUACAGAGGCCUACUCGGGGCGCGGCCGCACCAUUCGUCCCCGAGAGCGCGACUGGGUCCAGCCAGGAAGGGAGGGGAGGGCAGCCCAGGGCUCACCUGAGAGCGGCAGGUCAAGGCGUUGAAGAGGUCGAAGAACACAAAGCAGGACAGGGCUAUAGCUGCAUCCACUGAGUGUCACGGACAGAGGACGCACACCCUCCCUGGUGCUGCUGUAGGGACCUGAGGCAGGUCUCCUCCCGGGCCUGGCCUGGAGCCAAGGUGGAGCACAGGCUGGACACGGGCGGCCACACCACCUUCCUGGGCAGAAGAUAAAGAGGGUCCCGCUGAUGAUGACAGCAGCCGACAGGAGGAUUUUCAGGAUCAGGGCUUUGCUGAGAAUCGUGUCCUUGACGUUCCGCGGUGGCUGUCGGAGGGCGUCUUUGUCAACCGGCUCUACCCCCAAGCUGCUUGGAACAAGACAGGGGAACCUUGACAUCAACCACGAGGACGCUUAAAGUGCUGAAGCUGUACAGGCUCUCAGGUCAGCCCCGAAGACACAGCAAAGCGGGGGCUUUGGCCAAGUGCCCCCAGGUCGUCGGCAGGAGCUCGGUCUGGUCCCACUCUUAGGGGGACUUCUCCGUCCUUGCUGGAAGCCCGCUCCUCACAUCCUCUGCCCUCACCCUAACUCCUUCCAGGGUGCCCACCCCCCACCCCACCGGCCUGGGCCCCAGGGGCAGCCACACACCCGUCCCUGAGCACGGCGGAGGAAAACCAUCCCCCAGCCGACCACACCACUGUCCUGGAGCCACUCUGGGUCACCCCUCAUGAUCGCACAGCUUCCAUCACAAGGGGACGCCCAGCAGGCUGGAGAAACGGGGUCCAGACGCCGCCCCCCAGGGACCCGCCUUCAGCCGGCGGCGCAACAGCGGGACUGGGGCUAGACCAGCGGAAGACGGGACGUGGGGCACCGAGGAGGAAGCCGGCUGCAGAGACGGCACGCUGUAUCCCAGCGUGUGAAGAGGGACCUCCCCCUGGGCCCGGAGGGACAAAGCGGGACUCGACUCCUGCCCUCAGCGGCAACAACUGUGAUAAUUCAUGGUGACAUAUAUGUAUCACAUUUACAUCACACACACAUAUAUAAUCAACAACAGCAUGUACUGUGUGCUCGAACCCAGUGCCUCGCUUGUUCCUGGACGUCUGGCUCCCCGACUCCGAAGGUGGUGGUUCCUCCUGCCCGUUCAGCUACCCUCACCCUCCCUUCUCACCCAUCCACCCAGCAACUAACUCGCCGACCCCCUACUGUGUGCCCGGCACCGUCCCGGGAGCCGGGAAAUGCUACGAGGAACAAAAACCUUGCCAUAGGGGAAGCGGGUCAUAAUCAGAUAAACGAGGACACACGUAUUUUCUCCUCUAGGGACAAAGAAAGCAGCGUAAGGAGGGAGAGCCCGGGGGCUGCUGUUAGAGCGAUCACGGAGGACAUCUCCCAAGUGGGGAGGUGAAGAGGGGGACUGAGGCGUGGAGUCACCCAGGGAGCACAUCCCCCCCUCCGCCGCCCGCCCCGGCUGCCCGUGCAGGUGCUUCCUCCCAUGCCCAGGGCAUCCCGCUGGCUGUCUUCCCCACGGUGGGCCACACUCCGGCUUUGCAGGACUCCCGGGGACGGCGUCCCGUACUCGGUGCAAGGGACCCGAGGCGGCAGAGCCUCGAGGACAGCCCGGCGCCUCACCUCUGCGCCGGUGGCCCGUCCAUGAUGAUGUUGAUCCACAGGAUCUGCAUGGCGUUGAGCGGGCUGGGCAGGUCGCACACGGUGGACAGAGCGAUGAGGCUCAGGGCCGAGAUGCUCCUGCGGGGCACACACCGGGCACCGUCGAUGGCUGCACGCCGGACGCACGUGCAGCCCGACGGCCCUCGGAGACACCGGCCUUGACUUACGUGCUCAGCUGAAACCGCACGAAGUUUUUGAUGUUAUGAAAAAUCCCCUUGCCUUCCUCCACCGCGUUCCUGCAAGAGGACAGAGCGUUUCUUCGCAGAGGGCCCGCUGGGAGCGUCCGGGCACCUCCGGCAGCCGUGGGAGGGAGCGAUGGUGUCACCGGAGGUGGCCUCCCACGCAGGCGCCCCUUCCCCUUCCCCCCCGCUGGCGGCUCCAGGACCGAGAGGUACAGGAGGACGGUGGCCUGGCCAGCACCACCCGCCGCGGGGGCCCGGACCGCAGGCCACGAUCACCCUCUGUACGAAGACCAUAGAUCAUUCUCCCGCCUGAGCCCAGGGACCCCGCCCUCACCCGGGACUUGGGAAGCACUGACUGCAACCCAGAGAUGCAUCUGGACGACAGGCACAGCAAGACCGAUCAAACCUGCUAAUUCGCCCCAGGGGUGUGGCACGGGGCGGGGGUGGGGGAGAGAAUUAAGAGGCUGAAAAACAUCCUUGGUAUGUUCAGAAAACUGUAAAAGUCCUUGAAAAACCUUGAUCUUGAGUCACGAAUGCAGAAAACUGCCUAACCCUUUUUUUUCUGCUAAUUUUUUUUUUUUUUUUGCAAAAGAACUAAAAUUACAGAGUUAUUUAUCAACUGCAUCUCAGGACUUUUUUUCUUUUUUUUUUUUUUUUAACUAAGGGGGAAGGGGGCUAAGGAUUCCUAGGGUGAGUCAAUCCAUUUACAAAGACAAGACUCCUCCGUAAAGUCAAAAAUCGCACCCAAAUUCAGUUUUUGCUCAUUCAGAGUUCUGACAGCACGCUUAAGAAAACUUCCAUGCCACCCCCCAUUAUUACAAUGGAUUUAUGAGUAAAGUCUCGAUUACAACGAAUUAAAAUCAGAGCUAGAGGGAAGGCAAACUUGUUAAGAAAACAGAAAAGGGAAACAAGAAACCAGGUGUUUUGCGAUCUCGGGAGCUUGCGAUCACACGAGGGCCAACAAUUAGACGCUCCUGCCCCGUCGCUCGUCGCUUUCAGCGCAUGAAACAUACGCAUCCGCACAAACACGGCCCUCCAGCCGCACAUGCUCACUCUUCGCGUUUUUCACUUAACCCCACAAUGUGAGCGUUUCCCCGUCUUUAAAACGUUCCCCCAAAACGUGAUGUUUCGUGGCUUCGUGGCACUCCCGCCCUUGCUGUCGGCAGUUAGUGUGGCCUAGGAUUUCCCCACAGACGGUGCUGCGGCCAACACAUCGGAGCCCGCCUCCGUCUGUGCACCUGACCCCGGCUCGCCCGUCGGAUGCACCCUCAGGCCGUGAGGGGAGCAUGUCCCGAAGGGGGCAGCGGAUCACCGCGGGCAUAUCUGCCGCUGAAAACCAGCCAUGGAGCCACUCACAUGAUGGCCGAGAAGUCAUCAUCCACCAGGAUCACGUUGGCAGCCUCUUUGCUGACAUCUGUCCCCGUCUGCCCCAUGGCGAUCCCGAUGUCCGCAGACUUCAGGGCGACCGCGUCGUUCACCCCGUCCCCCGUCAUGGCCACGACUGCCCCCGACUCCUGCAAAGCCUUUGGAAAGAGGAGGUGAGUGAAGGCUCAUUCGUGUUCUCCACUAACAAACAAAAGUCGACAACUUACCCCUGAAACCACGCAGUGCCCCGUGGGAUUAAGUAAGUCUUAGGAAUGACUUGCAUGGAGGUUUCCUCCCUAGAACUAAAGCCCCCCAAACAGCACGAAGAAUAAAACAGCACAGAGCUAAAGAACACCUUUUCUUUCUCUCUUUUUUAAAAUUUAUUUGGAGAGCGAGAGCGCGUGCUUGCAAGCAAGGGAGGGGCAGAGAGAGAGGGAGACAGAGGAUCCAAAGCGGGCUCUGGGCUGACGGCAGACAGCCCGAUGUGGGGCUCGACCUCCUGAACCGUGAGAUCACGACCUAAGCUGAAGCUGGAUGCUUAAGCGACCGAGCCGCCCAGGCGCCCCAAGAGCUCAUUUUCAAAGCACUUCCGGGGAGGAGACCCAGCGCACCAGCAGCGCCCUCCCCCGGGCACAGGCAGAAAAUCACAUCCAGUCUCCACCGGGCACCCGCCGUGUGCCAGGUGCUGCUCCAAGAGCCGCACGGCCCGGCCUCCUGGAAUCCUCUCACUAGCCUUGUGAGUUGGCUGACGUCAUCCAUACAACCCCGGUUUACAGACUGGGAAACUGAGGCCUGGAGUUCAGUAACCAGAAUAAUGCCAGGGCGCUUGACUAACAGAGACUCCCUGCUUUUUAGUUUGCCCUCCGCACCACCCAAUUCCUGCUCCUGCUUUUGCUGUACGUGGCCAAGGACAGCCCGUUCUCCCCUCCCCGGGGGCUGGGCAAAGGCCCCGCCUGGUGCAGCCGUCCUGGGCCUAGAGAAAGAAGCACAGCUUGAGGACGGCCAACGCUCCUGCCAGCUUGGACCCAGGACCUCCCCCCGGGGGCAGAGCCACCGCCCUGGACUGACCCCAACGGACGCAUGAGGCACACAGCUUACCUUUAUGAUUUUGAGCUUGUGCUUCGGGCUGGUCCUGAAGAAGACAGAAACCUGGACGCAGAGGCGGAGAAGAGUCUGUGAACUUGGGGCUGAAACUCCCCCCCACCCCCGCCCCGCCCCGCCAAGCCCCCUGGGAGGACCCCACCUUCCCGACACAGCCAGCCAGCUCGUCCUGCCCCGUGCUCUCCACCUCCUCCCCGGACAUGGCUUUCAGCUUCCCGUUGCACAGGCCAAUAGUCCUUCCUGCGAGGUGCGGAGAGCCUGCUCUGAGGGCCCGCUCCCGCCCCUCACUCCCCCUGCCUGACAUCAGGCCCCGCCUGGGCCGCAGACCACGAGCACAGCAGAGCCGCGACGGCGACCCCCCCACCGAGCACCUGCCACGCGACAUGAUCCCAAUUCCAUCCACAGAACUAAGGCCUUAUUGCCCCUGCUUUAACGAUGAGGAAACGGAGGGGAGUGACCUCCCCCAGGUCCCAGAGCUGCCGAGCGGCGAUGCUGGGACCUGAUGUGGUUUUGUCUGAUUCUAGAGUCUGAUUUUUUUCACAGCGCCGGGUGCCUUGAGACAGAGCAGGGAGAACCAAUCACGUGAAUAAGAAGAACGAGAAGUGGGGGGGGGAUGGCCGGCCCCCUGUGGGAGAAGAGCCCGGAGGCCAGGGUGGUUCAGUGACCCGCCCGGGGCACGCAGAACCAGACCAGAACCCGGACACGGGCAGAUGCUGUCUGGGAAGAGGUGGUGAGGUCACGGCUGAGAGCCGUGGCCGGCUCUGCCCCCUUCGGGGCACCUGCCGACACUUUAGAGACAGCCGACUCUGUCGGGGGGGGUGCCGGCCCGUGAACCUCAGGGUCUCUGCGAGCUCACAGCAGGUGGGUGGGGGCGGGUUAACCCACAGGAGCGGCCCCCUCCCCGCCCGGCGCCCACUGCGCCCCACUCACCUAUAGCAGAGGCGGUCUCCAGAGCAUCUCCCGUUAUCAUCGUCACGGACACGCCGGACUGGCGGAGAACCCGCACCGCUUCCUUCACGCCGGCCCUCGGAGGGUCGAUGAUUCCAACGAGACCCAGAAAAGUCAGCCUCCCCAGCUCGGGUCCGGAAGCCAGGGCCAGCACUGAGGAGACACCGAGAGCCGUGGGAGGUCCCCCGCGGGCCCCAGGGGUGGGAGGACUCUGUGAGCUCGUCCCGGCCUUGACUCUGUUUCGGUGCAUGUACCAUUGGUACAGGUGCCAGGGCUGCGGGUGCCAAGCCUCCCUUUCCCCAAGCUCCCCUCCCCGCCCUGCCAGGCUCUGUCUCAGCCUCGCCUCGCCUCGCCCCCUUAUCAGCAAGCUGCUAGCAAUUUACAACGUCUGUUUCCCGCAGGGAAAACCCAAGGCAACUGACACCCGGCCCCAGGCUUCUCACUUUCCCCGGAGGGAACCCACGGGUUCCAGAGCGCUUCUCUGAAAACGGACAGGCACUGUGGGAAACCCGAGUUUCCAGCUCAUCGGGGAAGGCGGCGUCCCCGAUGCAGGAGACUGGAAACGGCCGAGGAAUGAAAUGUCUGCCUUGAUGCGAAAGAGCUUUGGGUUUUCGUGACCGUGGGCGACGAGCAGGAUGACCAAUCGGGAAAAUCAGCGUUUCCGGGGCGCCUCAGUCACGCGUCUGGACUAGCGGGUGUCACGUGGUGGCAGAGGUGGGCCGGGGGCGGGGAGGGGGGGGGGGCCUCUCUGCCUUUCACGUGACCACUGACCCGGAAGGUCAAUGCUGCACACUUAAAGCGCGGCGCUGGGGACGAGAGGUACCAACCCCGCAGGCCGAGCGACCCCAUCCUCCUUUCCUCCUGCUGGCACAAGGCUGUCUGCUGGGGCGUCAGUGGCAGGGAGAGGCCUCCGUUGUUGUACGAGGUACAGUGAUUAAUCACCUCUUCGAAGGCCCCCUUCAUGAAGUAAACGUCUUCCUGGUCCUUGGGAAAGAAGAAAAGGAAAACGGCUGCAUUCCUCGGGUCGGCUCCUUGGAGAACUUCGAUCCGCGGCCUCUCUGUGCGUCAGGUGCCCUGUUAACGUCACCGAGAGCAUCCCGUACGUGUCAUCAGCCACACCCCAACCACUGUUAGGCCUUUAUGUGCGUGACUGACUGCGGGACGUCUAUUUCCACUGGGACUGUCGCCUCCCGAGGGCAGGUCCCCUUUCUGUUUUGUUCACCCCUGCACGGGGCUCAUCGAGCCCCGAACCGCUCUCCUGUGUAUUCGUUAAGCUCGGUCUCCUGCGGAUGGGAAGCUCCACGCGGAAGGCGCCGUGACAGCCUGGGUCACACUGUCCCCGGCAUCAGCACGGCGCCUGAAAGCUCACGGCGGGCGGGGGGAUGAGGUUGUGUGAACCGAUACGGAAAGAUGUCUGAGACAUCGCUGAAAGGGGAGAGAGCAGAUUACAAACCCCCACCCACAGCACGACCUAGUUUCAAAACUACCACCCCGUACGUCGCUCUCUGCAUGUUUAGGACCUCAAAGGUCCCAUCCCAGACCGUGGAGGGGGGCUGCCUUGGGUCGGGAGACACGAAGGGCGGGAUUAUACGGCGCUUCCGUUUUUAAGUCACGUUUCUAGAAUCUAUUUCAGUGAGAAUAUAUUACCAGGGUCUUUGGGGAGAAAAAAAAGAUGUGAAGGUGAGCGCAAGGGUGUAUCUGUGGGCGCACACGUAUGACACGUGAGCUCGCCGUUCACACCAUCUGGGGUGGGUGCUGGGAUGCGCCUCCCGGUCCCCCGCAGGGCUGAAGGGCUGUCCCCACCUGGUGACGAUCUGAGGCACUCAUACGUGUAAAGAACUCAGCACCAGGAUGUUAAGAAGGGACCUCCAAGUUAGCAAGAGGGUUUGCUGCUAACGGCGGGAGCCCACGUCAAAAUUCCCCGCACGCACAGGGAAGCUGCAUUUUUAACCGAUUCCCCGGGGGAUGCCGCUGGUCUGGGAAGCGCGCCUUGAGAACCACCGUUUCGGACCAAAAUCUCGGCAGGAGACGCCAAAUGAUCAGAGGAAUCUUUAACAUCAGCUAAGCCCAUCUAGGAAAAGCAAACGCCACGCUUCUCGUGAGUCCUCCUGAGUCAGCCUCGCUGCAAAGCUCAGGCCGCCUCCGUUAUUCAUCCGUCAAACCACUUCCGGCAGGGGCAGGGCCAGCUGGUCCUGGCGACGGCUUCUGGCCAAAACGUGCUCAGAAACAAAAGCCCGUGGGCUCCCCUCCAGGAGGAAUGUUCCGGACUCAAAGAGUACCCGGACAGAGAGUCUAUCUGUGGGAUUAAAUCUCAUGGGGACUGAUCAGGAACAAAAGAAAUGCCCGAAAAGGCUCUUCGGGAAGGUCUGGUGAAUGACCCUGCAUCCCUCCAAAAGACGCGUCGACGCCCUAACCCCUCAGUGUCUGCGAACGUGGUCUUGUUUGGAAACAGGGUCUCGGGGGAGCGGAACCAAGUUAAGAUGAGGUCGUUCGCGUGUGUCCAGAUCCGAUAAGACGGGUGGUCCUUGGACGAAGGGGACAGGGCCACGUGAAGACGUGUCCGUGAGCCAAGGAGCAUCUGGCAUGACUGGUCACAGUUGGAGGGGAGGGGACCAGGGCGCUGCCCACACCUUCCUUUCAGACCUCCAGCUUCGGGAACCGUGACAGUGAUUCAGGCCCCCAGGUGGCAGUCCUUUAUUUCAGCCACUGCGGGGAAGCUAGCAAGGGCGUGACAGUGGAGAAACGGUUCAGAACCACUGACCUCGACCCCGAGACGGGUUUGAGGACGGACAUGAUAAACACAGAGCGCCGAGCACCGAGCCUGCCACACGGUCACGGGAGGCACAUCAUACAUGUCAGCUGUCACCAGGCUCCCCUAACUGGUUCCGGCCCACAGAAGAGUAAAUCGUGACCCGUAAAGGAGAGGGGGUUCUGGAACAUCGGUCCUCUCUGGGCUGCACGGGAGGCAGGCGGCGGGAGCAGGGGUGGAGACCCCACACCGGGGUUCUCUCCUGCUAGGACAGUCGGGCCACUGUCCCCGUCCCGGACGGCAGCCUGCGGUUGAACAGGGCCAGCCGGGGACCUUUCAGAAGAGGCAGUAAGGUCUAGUCGGUAUGACUGUCAUCCUGGAAAGAAUUUUCUUCCCUGAGUGUAACAGUUUCUUAACAUAGCUUGUUUACAGUUACAGGGACUUUCUGUUUUAAGUUUAUUUAUUUUGAGAGAGAGACAGACACAGAGACAGUAAGGGAGAGAGAGAGAGAGAGAGAGAGAGAGAGAGAGAGAGAGAGAG
Felis catus (domestic cat) is the source of this 13452-nucleotide long non-coding RNA. RefSeq lists it as uncharacterized. The transcript has 10 exons. Lineage: Eukaryota; Metazoa; Chordata; Mammalia; Carnivora; Felidae. The record is from RefSeq and is a predicted model, not a curated record.